Molecule: ribosomal RNA, 444 nt
Filed under: uncultured Lutibacter sp.
Lineage: Bacteria; Pseudomonadati; Bacteroidota; Flavobacteriia; Flavobacteriales; Flavobacteriaceae
Description: bacterial SSU rRNA
Rfam family: Bacterial small subunit ribosomal RNA
Source: RNAcentral
GAUGAACGCUAGCGGCAGGCUUAACACAUGCAAGUCGAGGGGUAACAGGGUGCUUGCACCGCUGACGACCGGCGCACGGGUGCGUAACGCGUAUAGAACCUACCUUUUACAGGGGAAUAGCCCAGAGAAAUUUGGAUUAAUGCCCCAUAGUAUUACAGAAUGGCAUCAUUUUAUAAUUAAACAUUUAUGGGUAAAAGAUGGCUAUGCGUUCUAUUAGCUAGGUGGUAAGGUAACGGCUUACCAUGGCAACGAUAGAUAGGGGUCCUGAGAGGGAGAUCCCCCACACUGGUACUGAGACACGGACCAGACUCCUACGGGAGGCAGCAGUGAGGAAUAUUGGACAAUGGAGGCAACUCUGAUCCAGCCAUGCCGCGUGCAGGAAGACGGUCCUAUGGAUUGUAAACUGCUUUUAUACAGGAAGAAACAGUCCCUCGUGAGGGAUCU